UACGUAGGGUGCAGGCGUUAAUCGGAAUUACUGGGCGUAAAGCGUGCGCAGGCGGUUUGCUAAGUCAGACGUGAAAUCCCCCGGCUUAACCUGGGAACUGCGUCUGAUACUGGACGGCUUGAGUAUGGGAGAGGAACGUAGAAUUCCAGGUGUAGCGGUGAAAUGCGUAGAUAUCUGGAGGAAUACCGGUGGCGAAGGCGGCGUUCUGGACCAUUACUGACACUGAAUCGCGAAAGCUAGGGGAGCAAACGGG
This 253-nucleotide ribosomal RNA is filed under the name uncultured bacterium. RNAcentral describes it as "partial 16S ribosomal RNA". It matches the Rfam family "Bacterial small subunit ribosomal RNA", at positions 524 to 776 of the family's 1533-position model. The record is from RNAcentral.